UUGCUUUUUUCUUUUUUAUUCUCAGGCGGCUGAUGAGAGGUGGGCUUGGGGCAGAGAAGUGCGGCUGAUGGGAGAUGCAGCAGGGAGGCUUGCGGGAGAAGCCAAAGAAAAGCUAAAAAGAAAAAGUUGGCUUGAGAAAGGAGGAACCAGUGAGAAGCCGAGGAGGAGGGGAGUACCUCUGCGUUUAGACGAGUGCUGAAAGGCGAGCACAUCUGGCGCAGAGAAGAGACUUCCAGUUGUGGUAUGUUGCUCUGUGACCACCAACACCGCAACUCUCAAGAUUGUUAGGGUUAGAAAAUGGAACCUGGUAACGAAGUAAAGGAUGACGCCUCUGUAGAUUCUCUGACUUCAGUCCUGGAGGAUGAGGGUAUUUGUGAGGAGCAAAUUAAAGUUAAGAUGGAGGAUGACAUACUUCUUGCCCUCGAUGCAAAAAGUGGAGAUUCUUCUCUUAUAUCCAGAACCAUGUCAAAGGAAGAAGAGAUGCUGAUGAAAGAAUGGGUGAAGGAAGAGGAUGCAAAACAAGUAGUAUCUCAGGAGGCCCCCCACUUGAAUGACAGCCAGUUCACUAAAUUGGAUGAGCUUCUAACAUAGACCCAGCUGUGCUUAGAGUUUUUAUUGAAAAAAAAAUGGAUUCCAUCAUAUUUAAUCGUGUGGAGGAGAAAGGGAGUGAAAUUGUUGAAGUAAAAAAGAGGGGUCGAGGUUCAAAAAGAAAAGAGGAAUAUAAUAAUAGGAAGGCCAAGAGAGCAGUUGCAGCCAUGCUAGAAAGUAUCUAAGGCAUUACCAUUGAAAAUAUCUUGUGGUUGAUGGUGGGGUCUAGAUGUAAAUUCAUGAUAUGCACGUUGCAAGACUUUGCUUUAUUUUUCUUUGGGCUGCUAGGAUGUUCAAACAUCAUUUGAAAAUUCCCACCUUGGCCACCUCUAAGUGUGGUCACUUUGGCAUA
This is a long non-coding RNA of Vitis vinifera (wine grape), 940 nucleotides long. RefSeq lists it as uncharacterized. NCBI's taxonomy places the organism in Eukaryota, Viridiplantae, Streptophyta, Magnoliopsida, Vitales, Vitaceae. The transcript is spliced from 2 exons. The record is from RefSeq and is a predicted model, not a curated record.